AUGUGAUCGUCUCUCGCAUAUCAAUAAGCGGAGGAAAAGAAACUAACAAGGAUUCCCCUAGUAACGGCGAGUGAAGCGGGAAGAGCUCAAAUUUGAAAUCUUAAAGGGUUUCCCUUUACGAAUUGUAGUUUAAAGAAGUGUUUUCUGUUGAGGCUUUGGUAAAAGUUCUUUGGAAUAGGACAUCAUAGAGGGUGAGAAUCCCGUAUUUGACCUUUACUUUCAACUUUGUGAUACACUUUCAAAGAGUCGGAUUGUUUGGGAAUGCAGUCCAAAAUGGGUGGUAAAUUUCAUCUAAAGCUAAAUAUUGGCGAGAGACCGAUAGCGAACAAGUACCGUGAGGGAAAGAUGAAAAGAACUUUGAAAAGAGAGUUAAACAGUACGUGAAAUUGUCAAAAGGGAAGCGUUUGACACCAGUGUUGCUUUUCUGAAAAUCAAUUAAAGAACUGUUUAUGCUAAGUUGUUUAGACUUUAUCAGCUAUCUGUUUAGUUUUGAGCUUUUCUUUAAUGCACUUUUCAGUUAACAAGUCAACAUCAAUUUCUUUUGCUGUAAAAAAGCUUGAGGAAGGUGGCUUGAGAUUCGUCUUAAGUGUUUAUAGCCUCUUGCCUAUGCAGUCGGAGAGAUUGAGGUCUGCAGCGUAGAUCCUUCGGGGCUAAAUGCAUUUGUGCUAAGUUAUAGCAUUUUAUAGACAACUUGUUGACUAUGAUUUGUCUUGUAGCUUACUCGCUUAUGUUAUUUUACCUACGCUUAGGAUGUUGACUGAUAUGUAGUCGUA
This 773-nucleotide ribosomal RNA is filed under the name uncultured Neocallimastigales. RNAcentral describes it as "partial large subunit ribosomal RNA". It matches the Rfam family "Eukaryotic large subunit ribosomal RNA", at positions 24 to 644 of the family's 3401-position model. The record is from RNAcentral. Lineage: Eukaryota; Fungi; Neocallimastigomycota; Neocallimastigomycetes; Neocallimastigales.